CAGCCGCCACGGGAAUACGGAGGGGGCUAGCGUUGUUCGGAAUUACUGGGCGUAAAGCGCACGUAGGCGGCUUGGUAAGUUAGAGGUGAAAGCCCGGAGCUCAACUCCGGAAUUGCCUUUAAGACUGCCGAGCUAGCAGGUGAGAGAGGUAAGUGGAAUUCCGAGUGUAGGGGUGAAAUUCGUAGAUAUUCGGAAGAACACCAGUGGCGAAGGCGGCUUACUGGCUCAUACUGGACGCUGAGGUGCGAAAGCGUGGGGAGCAAACAGGAUUAGAUACCCCGGUAGUCCCUGUCUCUUAUAC
Molecule: ribosomal RNA, 301 nt
Filed under: uncultured bacterium
Lineage: Bacteria
Description: partial 16S ribosomal RNA
Rfam family: Bacterial small subunit ribosomal RNA
Source: RNAcentral